CUUCAACGACCCCAGCCACAACGGGCGUUCCGCAUCCCGCUGCCGGCCGUAGGUCGCCAGCAGUGCUUGGGCUUC
RNAcentral lists this antisense RNA (75 nucleotides) under Streptomyces albus. RNAcentral's name for it is "ASpks TB sRNA". It matches the Rfam family "ASpks TB sRNA". RNAcentral also lists the same sequence under 1 other name. Lineage: Bacteria; Bacillati; Actinomycetota; Actinomycetes; Kitasatosporales; Streptomycetaceae. The record is from RNAcentral.